CGGAAUUGGAUUUGGAUGCAUCUACAAUGAGUUCAUGUAUGUCACCUUCGUUUACUUAUGUUCCAUGUUUGGUUCAAAAUUUUAAUUGUACGUAGAUUUGGUCUCCUCAUCGUUGAGGUUUCGAUUUAAUUUACUAUUUCUUAACAUUUUACAAAUUUUGACGGUAAUUACGAUGGGUUAUGUUGCAUAUUAUUUUUUACUUCACAAUAUUAUCUUGAACGUUUACAAGUUUAUAUGUAAAAUUGCAAAAAAUAACGAUUUUGAGGGUUUGUUUUGUACAAAACUAUUUCUUAUGUUUCUUUAUCAACCUCAGUCAUUAUACUAAUUUUUGUUACAAUUGCUUAAGAGAUCAUCAGUAAGGAUGGAUUGUUUAAAAACUCGCUACAGAUAGACUUAGUACCUAGCGGAAAAAUUGCUUAUGAUUUUCACGAAAACUUCAAACAUAAUUGAUUGUAUAAAAUCCCAAACUCUGGAUCUAGAUGUUUUUAAAAAAAAAAUUGUCAAUCACCGUCAAAAUUUGUAAAAUAUGGCGAUUUAGAUGAUUAUUUUGCCCAAAACUUUUAUUUAUGGUUCUCUAUAAACCUCAAUCAUUUUGCUGAUUUUUAUUACAAUUGCAUUAAAAAUAUGGUUUUGUUUUGAUAAUAUGAAUGUUUGCAGGCAACUAAAGUUUAUGAGAAGAAGGUUAAAUUUCCAAUGUAAUGACCUUGUUGAUUUAGUAAACAGUAAUAGGCCUUGUUUAAAAUACUGUUAGGCACUUAGGCUAGUCGAGCACUUGGGUAGAUUUUUCCGCAAUCGGUUAUAUAUUUUUAUUAAAAUUUUGUUCAUAAGUUAUUGUAAAACGUAACAUCACACACUUCCAAUCUAAAUGUAUAAAUAACAAAAAGAAAAAAAAUUGGUUUAUACUUGCAAUCUAAAUAAUUGUGAUAUGUAACAUUAGACAAGGAAUAAUUAAAUUAGACAGUAAUUGGGUGACUGAUUUUUUCAAAGGAUUACUCAGUAAUCGAAAUGGAUAAGGUGAACCUAAUAACUAAUCUGGAGUAAUCGAAGCUGGACAAGAUUUUUAGAACAAGAGUAAUAGGUGACAAAACAUAAAUCUUCAAUUUGCCUGCACAUGCUUUGAGAAGACUAGGGAAUGAGUAAAUGUAAAAGUAUCAGGUAAGAGUCUAUUGACAAGCAUGGAAGAGAAUGGGGAGACAAAUGGUUAGUGAGAGAGUUGAGAUACUUGGUGGAGUUUAGGAAAGAGGUAGCUCUGAUCAUAGCUCCAUGGUUUUGAUCAAAGCGUGAACGAUCACUAUAAAGAAGUCAUUGAUUGGCCGAGAAAAGAAGAUAUUGAUUUGCGUUAUGGUUUCCUUAUAAGGUUUAUAUAAAACCGAACCAAACCGUACCAAACCAAAAUCUAAAACUUUUACCAUAUAUACUAGGUCCGGACAGAAAUAUGGGUGACAAAUAAGAUUGAUGAGACCAACGUGGUAUCGUGGAGCAUGUUCUUGGCAGUAGAUUAUUCCAAAACUGAUAUUGACUCUGGAGUUAGGUUUUUGGUCGACGAAGAGAAGAAAUUUGUCGUGUAUUGGCAUAUGAAAAGUGUGGUCAGUUACGAAAACGUGGUACACAUAAUUGAGGAGGAUAAUAAGGUUAGGAAAGUGGAUUUUGAAGCAUAUGCGAGGAGUACAUCAUAUAGCCCUCCUUUAUUUACUUAUGUUCCAAGUUUGGUUCAAAUCCAGUGACUUUGAAGACCGAAGGAGGCAACUAUAUAUGUAAAUGACUCCAUCUUUUGUGUUUUUCUUUUUUUGCAACUUAAUGUAUAAGAGUGUUGCAAAAUAGAUUCAAAGCCACUACCUAUUAUAGUUCAAAGUUCAAACUAAAACAAACACAACAACUUUAGUUAAAGUUAUACAACGAUAAAGUAUAAUACUCAUUGUCAGAUCUGUUGAAGAUUUUCGAUUGUCUUGUCCGAAAACAACUUUUGCUGGGAUUAAUUAAUGCUUGUGCGUGUAUGCUCCUUAGACGCAGCAUAUACAAGAUCUAAGAGUUGUGGACGCUUUGACUGUGGCUUUUCAAUUUUAUGAUAGAUAGAGUAUUAGAGUUGUUGAAUUAACUGCAGAUCGCUUUAUAUAUGUUCUAUUGAUUUGUGAAUCACUCGAACUUUUCUUGUGAUCACAUAGAUUGUUUACUUACGUGUUUGAUGAAAAAGAAGACAUAGACGACAAAAUAAUAUAUAAGUUUUUGUGGUGUAAUUGUUUUGUGUUUGUUUUAGUUUGUACAAUAAGUCUUGGGUUUGAAUCUGUUUUACAACAUUUUUUCAUUUUAAAAUAAUUAAAACAAUAAGUUUUUUUUUUUUUUUUGCACGAAACGAUCCUUCUUGUAUAAACCUCAAUCAUUUUGCUGAUUUUUGUUACAAUUGCAUUAAACAUUAAAUAUAGUUUUGUUUUGAUGAUAUGAAUAUUUGCAGGCAACUUAGUUUAUGAGAAAUGUAAUGACUUUGUUGAUUUUGUAAGAAUAGCAAGUGAAAUAGUGGCGAAAAGCUGAUGAGAAAUAAUUAAUGAGAGAGUUCAGAGUUGGAGUAUAACAUCAUAUAUAGCUCAUGGGUUUUAUAAAAACAAACAAAAAAAACUUGUGAAGAAGAUAUUGAUUUACGUAAUGGUUUACUUAUCAGUUUUAUAUAAAACAGAACCGAACCAACACCAAACCAUAAUUUGAAACGUUACCAUAUAUAUAUUUACGAAUUACUGCUCUACGGAGGCAACUAAUUAAAACCCUAAGUAAAAAGAAAAAAAAAAACACAAGCCGCACCUAUGACGAUGUCGGAGCUUCCAGGGGAUGUAGUAGAGGAGAUACUCUGUUACGUUCCGGCCACAUCUCUGAAAAGGUUACGAUCUACUUGCAAAAGAUGGAAUCUUUUAUUGGACGAUGCAAGAUUUGCAAGAAAGCACUUCGAUAAAGCCGCAAGACAUAUUCUAAUUAUCAUGUUGACAGAGGAAUAUUCAAGGGUUUGUUUGAUGAACAUCAAUCUACAUGGGUUUUCAUCUAUAGGUGUAAUAGGUGAACUUAGCCUAAUCAAUUCUCAUCCUAGUUUAAGAAUAGCUGAUAUAUCUAAAGCUUUUCACUACGAUGGCUUAUUGUUAUGCACCAUCAAAGAUAGCACGAGUCUCGUCGUUUGGAACCCAUGUACUGGUCAAACCAUCCAAACCACAGUUCCUUACAAGACAGUCUACUCCACCUUUGCGCUCGGAUCCUACAAAGACAAGAAUUCCGGGUAUAACAACAGCUACAAAAUAUUGUGCUAUUACCAACUGAAAGAAUUUGCAAUUUAUGAGAUUAAGACUAAUUCAUGGAAGACUCUUGACGUCGCUUUGGACUUUAGAUUAAUCUAUAUUGAUUACAAGGUGUCUUUGAAGGGAAAGACUUACUGGUUUGCUGAAGAUAAUGGAGAAAACCAUCAAAAAGCAUUAUUCUUAGCCAGUUUUGAUUAUUCAACAGAGAUAUUUGGACGUAUGUGUCUCCCAUGUUACUGUUCUAGCUUUAGUCUUUGGAAUAUAGCUCUCUCCGUUGUUAAAGAAGAAAAACUUUCUAUGUUAUUACAGCAUGAAAAUACGUCACGGACAGAAAUAUGGGUAACAAAUAAGAUUGACGAGACCAACGUGGUAUCGUGGAGCAUAUUCUUGGUAGUAGAUUCAUCCAAAAUUUAUAUUAACUACGGAGUUAGGUUUUUGGUCGAAGAAGAGAAGAAAUUUGUCGUGUGUUGGCAUAGGAAAGUACAUGAGCUCAAGGAAGAAUACAUGAUCAUAACUGAGGGAGAUAAUAAAGUUAUGGAAGUGGAUUUUGAGGCAUCUACAAUGAGUUCAUGUAUGUCACCUUUGUUAACUUAUGUUCCAAGUUUGGUUCAAAUCCAGUGACUUGGAAGACUGGAGGAGGCAACGACUACGAAGGGGCAAAUUUACUCGAUCUUUUGUGUUUUUAUUUUAUAUUUCUUUCUACUAAAUUAUUUUUGGACGUUUUAGUAUCUAAUGUUUCUAGUAGCUAUAGGAGGAAGCUAUAACAGCAGAUGUUAAAUCAAUGUUUGCUUAAGAUACUACAGGUUUUUUCAUGGUUCUUUAUAAAUCCUCAAUCGUUAUGCUGAUAUUUGUUACAAUUGCUUUAACAAUAUGGUUUUUUUUUAUGACCUGAAUAUUAUUUCUAGGCAACUUAGUUUAUGAGAAGGUAAAAUUCCAAUGUAAUGGCUUUGUUAAUUUUGUAAGAGAAACAC
This 4243-nucleotide long non-coding RNA is filed under the name Capsella rubella. RNAcentral describes it as "long non-coding RNA (CRUB_LNC002371)". Lineage: Eukaryota; Viridiplantae; Streptophyta; Magnoliopsida; Brassicales; Brassicaceae. The record is from RNAcentral.